RNAcentral lists this ribosomal RNA (463 nucleotides) under uncultured bacterium. RNAcentral describes it as "bacterial SSU rRNA". It matches the Rfam family "Bacterial small subunit ribosomal RNA", at positions 1 to 507 of the family's 1533-position model. The record is from RNAcentral.
CAUGCUAGACGUAGUUUGAUCCUGGCUCAGAACGAACGCUGGCGGCAGGCCUAACACAUGCAAGUCGAGCGAGGACUUCGGUCCUAGCGGCGGACGGGUGAGUAACGCGUGGGAACGUGCCCUUUGGUACGGAAUAGCCCCGGGAAACUGGGAGUAAUACCGUAUGGUGUCUUCGGACUAAAGAUUUAUCGCCAAAGGAUCGGCCCGCGUUGGAUUAGGUAGUUGGUGGGGUAAUGGCCUACCAAGCCGACGAUCCAUAGCUGGUUUGAGAGGAUGAUCAGCCACACUGGGACUGAGACACGGCCCAGACUCCUACGGGAGGCAGCAGUGGGGGAUCUUAGACAAUGGGGGCAACCCUGAUCUAGCCAUGCCGCGUGAGUGAUGAAGGCCCUAGGGUUGUAAAGCUCUUUCAGCUGGGAAGAUAAUGACGGUACCAGCAGAAGAAGCCCCGGCUAACUCCGUG